Molecule: long non-coding RNA, 850 nt
Organism: Alnus glutinosa
Lineage: Eukaryota; Viridiplantae; Streptophyta; Magnoliopsida; Fagales; Betulaceae
Exons: 3
Source: RefSeq, a predicted model, not a curated record
ACUUUCCUUGACACGCGCACAAUUAAGAUUAGUUGUAAAAUUUUCAAUUCCCACGAUUUCCAUCGUCACAAUCUUCUCUUCGCCGACAUUUCCAUUAGCCACAAGAUUCCCCGAUUCAUCUUCCCUUCUAUCCUUGUCAUCUUCACAGCUCUUCCCGGCGGUAGACUUGUCGCUACUCGAAUCUCUGACUCUUACUGGUGUGAGGCAUUGUGGUGGUGGUGCGCGUGGUGCCUGUCGUCACUGAUCUAGAGGAUAUAUUUUACAGAUGCAAAUGACGUAUGAGAAUCAAGUUACGUAGAUGCAAAUGGCGCAUGAGAAGCAAGAGAGUGAAAUGAUUGAAAUGAGAAAGCUUAUUGUCAUGCUAAUGGAAGGGAAUGCGCAUAGGGACAAUGUGCCGAGCAUUAUUCCAAACACAACUUUCUUACUUGGGCAUAUACGUGGGUAGUGGAGCAGGUGAACACCCAAUUGCGGUCGUGACGAUGAUCAAGCGAAAGAUGACGGCGAAAGACAAAUCAGAAGGUGUCUUAAGUAACAAUAUUUAGUUGGACUUAUUUUACCAAUUUUUGGAUUACUAGUAGGUCUCAAAUAUAAGAAGGUCCUUCCUGCCUAUCCAUGUACAGACCAUUACAGAUCUGGGCUUUUGGUUGUUGGAAAGAUAUCAUAAUGGAAUGGCAUCAUGCUGUCAUAUGUACAAAGAAUAUAUUUUGUGUAUGUUGUUACAUUUCUUCUACGUUUCAUUUGUAUCAUAGUUACUCUUUUUUAUCUGAUUGAGAAACUGUGGCUGGCUUGUAGAUUAAACUGUGAUUGAUAAUGUCAUAGCCAAAUAUAUUCAAGGAUGAUUAGAUUGCAA